UAUGCUUUAGUAUAAGAUGUAUAAAAGUUUUUGAUACUUUAGGGGAUGGUUUAAGUCUGUCAGGCAUAA
RNAcentral lists this transfer RNA (69 nucleotides) under Scolytinae sp. BMNH 1039994. RNAcentral describes it as "tRNA-Gln". Lineage: Eukaryota; Metazoa; Arthropoda; Insecta; Coleoptera; Curculionidae. The record is from RNAcentral.